GAUGAAGAACGUAGCGAAAUGCGAUACGUAAUGUGAAUUGCAGAAUUCAGUGAAUCAUCGAAUCUUUGAACGCACAUUGCGCCCCCUGGUAUUCCGGGGGGCAUGCCUGUCCGAGCGUCAUUACAACCCUCAAGCUCAGCUUGGUGUUGGGCCCCGCCGCCCCGGCGGGCCCUAAAGUCAGUGGCGGUGCCGUCCGGCUCCGAGCGUAGUAAUUCUUCUCGCUCUGGAGGUCCGGUCGUGUGCUUGCCAGCAACCCCCAAUUUUUUUCAGGUUGACCUCGGAUCAGGUAGGGAUACCCGCUGAACUUAAGCAUAUCAAUAAGCGGAGGA
RNAcentral lists this unclassified non-coding RNA (329 nucleotides) under soil metagenome. RNAcentral describes it as "partial contains 5.8S ribosomal RNA, internal transcribed spacer 2, and large subunit ribosomal RNA". The stretch from base 1 to 120 matches the Rfam family "5.8S ribosomal RNA", at positions 35 to 154 of the family's 154-position model. The record is from RNAcentral.